GGGAUCGUGGUCUAGCUUGGUAUGAUACUUGCCUGGGGGGCAAGUGGUCGCAGGUUCAAAUCCUGCCGGUCCCA
RNAcentral lists this transfer RNA (74 nucleotides) under Nitrosopumilales archaeon CG15_BIG_FIL_POST_REV_8_21_14_020_37_12. RNAcentral's name for it is "tRNA-Pro". It matches the Rfam family "tRNA". Rfam says of the family: Transfer RNA (tRNA) molecules are approximately 80 nucleotides in length. Their secondary structure includes four short double-helical elements and three loops (D, anti-codon, and T loops). The record is from RNAcentral. RNAcentral also lists the same sequence under 2 other names. Lineage: Archaea; Thermoproteati; Nitrososphaerota; Nitrososphaeria; Nitrosopumilales.